Molecule: ribosomal RNA, 449 nt
Filed under: uncultured bacterium
Lineage: Bacteria
Description: bacterial SSU rRNA
Rfam family: Bacterial small subunit ribosomal RNA
Source: RNAcentral
UGGGGAAUUUUGGACAAUGGGCGCAAGCCUGAUCCAGCCAUUCCGCGUGAGUGAAGAAGGCCUUCGGGUUGUAAAGCUCUUUCGGCAGGGAAGAAACGGUCUGGGCUAAUACCCUGGGCUAAUGACGGUACCUGAAGAAGAAGCACCGGCUAACUACGUGCCAGCAGCCGCGGUAAUACGUAGGGUGCGAGCGUUAAUCGGAAUUACUGGGCGUAAAGCGUGCGCAGGCGGUUUUGUAAGACAGAUGUGAAAUCCCCGGGCUUAACCUGGGAACUGCGUUUGUGACUGCAAGACUCGAGUACGGCAGAGGGGGGUGGAAUUCCACGUGUAGCAGUGAAAUGCGUAGAGAUGUGGAGGAACACCGAUGGCGAAGGCAGCCCCCUGGGUCGAUACUGACGCUCAUGCACGAAAGCGUGGGGAGCAAACAGGAUUAGAUACCCCCGUAGUCC